RNAcentral lists this transfer RNA (74 nucleotides) under Oryzias latipes (Japanese medaka). Its description in RNAcentral is "tRNA-Thr (AGT) (tRNA-Thr-AGT-46-1)". It matches the Rfam family "tRNA". Rfam says of the family: Transfer RNA (tRNA) molecules are approximately 80 nucleotides in length. Their secondary structure includes four short double-helical elements and three loops (D, anti-codon, and T loops). Lineage: Eukaryota; Metazoa; Chordata; Actinopteri; Beloniformes; Adrianichthyidae. The record is from Rfam by way of RNAcentral.
AGCUUUGUGGCUUAGUUGGUUAAAGCGCCUGUCUAGUAAACAGGAGAUCCUGGGUCCAAAUCCCAGCAGUGCCU